Molecule: long non-coding RNA, 1506 nt
Organism: Apodemus sylvaticus (European woodmouse)
Lineage: Eukaryota; Metazoa; Chordata; Mammalia; Rodentia; Muridae
Exons: 7
Source: RefSeq, a predicted model, not a curated record
ACCAAGAGUAUAAUUCUUCCUCUAUGGGCCAAAAUCCUUGAUCUGUCACCCCAGGUCCAGGCAACUGACUAGGGACAACUCUAUUCCCCUGAGACUGUUACUCCUGUCCUUUCUAUGCCUUCUGGUCCUGCCAUGUUUGCUCUUUUCCAUGGAAACCAUCUCUAGCCAGGCUAGCCUCGAACUCCUGGGAUGAAGCAGUUCUGCUAUCUCACCGUCCUAAGAAGCUGGGACUACAGUUACAUACGAUCAUGCCAGACAUAGACCGUUCCUCUUACUGUGAAUUUAAAGCUGGUUUACUGCUCAGCCAGGAGAGAUUUCUACACAGUCUCCCUGGAUCAGCCCCUAGGCCGUGGGUGAGACUAGGCUGGAGCCUGAAGACUGGAGCCUGGCCUUUUCCACCCACACCCAGAGACACCACUGAAGCGAGCUCAGUCUUCAUGAGAUUCGACCUCCAUGGCUAAAAAUCGGGUCACGACACACAGCUCUUAGCCAUAGAGUUGAAUUGGCUGUUCAUGGCACACCUCAAAGAAUUAUCCUUUGCCUGCCACCGAAGAAAGAGUCACCCUGGGUAGACAUCCCUGUGGAACAGCUGACUCACCAUCCCCUGCCAACAAGCAGCUGGGGGAUCAGCAACUCUCCACUGUUCUCAGUGAUGUCUCAAAUGCUUGUCCUUGAUCAGAAGGUUCUGCAUAGUCCAGCUUCCAAGUGUUUGUUUUCACAAAUGAUGUGGUCUGAUGGCCCCAUGUGCUCCAGGCUGCAAUUCCAGCCAUUGGGAAGCUGGGCCAGGUGGAUGUCUGCAAGUCUGAGACCAGCUUGAGCUACGUAGUGAAUUCCAGGACUGAAGGUCAAGCCUCGUGCAUUCAGGGUCUGAGGCUCGCCAGCAGGUCCUGCUUUUUGUUUUACAGGGCACGAUCUUCUACAGAUUUCCAUUCGUUCUCUCCCCACACUCCCAUCCCAACCUAUUGAUAUUUUCAAUAUUUCCUUGAACCCCCACUCUUGACUCGUGUUUGGAUUCUGGCUCUUUAUUUUUAUUGCUUGGUUUUGUUAAUUUGCCAUCAAGAUGGAGGUCUGGCUCUGCAACUCUAGCUGGCCUAGACCUGGUGACCCUCCUUCCUCUCUCUCCCAUGUUAUAGGAAUGGACCGCCAUUCUCAGCUCCAGUUUUUAUUCUUCAUAGAAAUCAAGCUUCUCUGAAAAGGGAGAGAGACAGACACAGAGAGUCAGAGAGACAGAGAGAAAUGGUAGAUACUUUGUUUUGUGGCAUAACUGUUUUUCCUCAACUUUUACAUCUUCUGUCAAAUGGUUUUGUCUUCUUCCCAGUAGAAUGGGAAAAGAAUCAGCAGCCACUAGACAGCCACAUACCAGGCCCCAGAAAUGACAGCUACAUAUGCAAAGAUUGAGAAAGGGAUGCUAAUAGGAAUAAAAAGAAUGAAUAAUUGCAAAACAAUAAAUUAUUUAUAUUUUGCUUAUAAAUUAAUAAAGUAGGAAAGAGAAUCUAGAAUCAUAAA